AAUAUAUACCGUGAAACUGCGAAUGGCUCAUUAAAUCAGUUAUCGUUUAUUUGAUAGUACCUUACUACUUGGAUAACCGUGGUAAUUCUAGAGCUAAUACAUGCUAAAAACCUCGACUUCGGAAGGGGUGUAUUUAUUAGAUAAAAAACCAAUGCCCUUCGGGGCUCCUUGGUGAUUCAUAAUAACUUAACGAAUCGCAUGGCCUUGUGCCGGCGAUGGUUCAUUCAAAUUUCUGCCCUAUCAACUUUCGAUGGUAGGAUAGUGGCCUACCAUGGUUUCAACGGGUAACGGGGAAUUAGGGUUCUAUUCCGGAGAGGGAGCCUGAGAAACGGCUACCACAUCCAAGGAAGGCAGCAGGCGCGCAAAUUACCCAAUCCCGACACGGGGAGGUAGUGACAAUAAAUACUGAUACAGGGCUCUUUUGGGUCUUGUAAUUGGAAUGAGUACAAUUUAAAUCCCUUAACGAGGAACAAUUGGAGGGCAAGUCUGGUGCCAGCAGCCGCGGUAAUUCCAGCUCCAAUAGCGUAUAUUAAAGUUGUUGCAGUUAAAAAGCUCGUAGUUGAACCUUGGGCCUGGCUGGCCGGUCCGCCUCACCGCGUGCACUGGUCCGGCCGGGCCUUUCCUCCUGGGGAGCCGCAUGCCCUUCACUGGGUGUGUCGGGGAACCAGGACUUUUACUUUGAAAAAAUUAGAGUGUUCAAAGCAGGCCUAUGCUCGAAUACAUUAGCAUGGAAUAAUAGAAUAGGACGUGUGGUUCUAUUUUGUUGGUUUCUAGGACCGCCGUAAUGAUUAAUAGGGAUAGUCGGGGGCAUCAGUAUUCAAUUGUCAGAGGUGAAAUUCUUGGAUUUAUUGAAGACUAACUACUGCGAAAGCAUUUGCCAAGGAUGUUUUCAUUAAUCAGUGAACGAAAGUUAGGGGAUCGAAGACGAUCAGAUACCGUCGUAGUCUUAACCAUAAACUAUGCCGACUAGGGAUCGGGCGAUGUUAUCUUUUUGACUCGCUCGGCACCUUACGAGAAAUCAAAGUCUUUGGGU
Molecule: ribosomal RNA, 1033 nt
Filed under: Neodermea rossica
Lineage: Eukaryota; Fungi; Ascomycota; Leotiomycetes; Helotiales; Dermateaceae
Description: SSU rRNA
Rfam family: Eukaryotic small subunit ribosomal RNA
Source: RNAcentral